RNAcentral lists this long non-coding RNA (776 nucleotides) under Marmota monax (woodchuck). The record is from RNAcentral. Lineage: Eukaryota; Metazoa; Chordata; Mammalia; Rodentia; Sciuridae.
AACUAGCUGUACUUUUUAAGCAUACUUUUUUAAAAAAUACAUUUUGGUUGUAGAUAGACACAAUAUUUUUAUUUAUCUUUAUGUGGUGCUGAGUAUCAAACCCAGUGCCUUACACAUGCUAGGCGAGUGCUCUACCACUGAGCCAAAACCCCAGCACUUAAGCAUACUUUUUAAACUUGCAAUAAAAUUAACAAUAAUAGCAACUGCCAUUUAUGGAGCACACACUGUACUAGGAAUUGUACAUACAGUACAUUCUUUAGAUCAGGGGUGACAAACUGGUUAAAUCUGGCUGCUGCUUGUUUUUGUAAAUAAAAUUUUGAUACACAUACUCAAGUCCAUUUGUUUACAUCACAUCUGUGGCAACCUUCCUGCUUCAGUGGCAGAAACUUUGCUCUGCACAGCCCAGAAUACUUCUGUACUUUAUAGAAAGUUUGCCCACACCUUUUCUAGAUUAAUCUUUACAAUUAUUAUCCUUGUUUUGCAAAUGAGAAAACAGCCUUAGAAAGCUUAGCUAACUUUCCCAGGUUCACACUACUAGGAGGCAGGGAACUGGGAUUUGAUUCUCUUUCUGACCAGGUUCUGCUACAUGUAUCAGCUGACAGAACAGUGUGUGACUGCACCCUACAGAAGGCCAUUAGGGGAAUUUGUGCAAUGAGUCUUUUCCUACCCUCCCAUUUAAGUAGGGCAGAAGUUGAGGCUUCUUCCUUGGGUUCAGGAAUCAACACAAUUUAAUUGCUUCAUUGUUGUGAAAUCAAGCGUUCUAAAGAACUGAAUUA